ACACUCAAAAGUCUGGGACAGUGAAGAAAUCUGAGUUUAUGUUGUAUUGGAACUUAUGUCUCAGCUCAGAUCGAGACACACUGAGCAUUCCUGGGUGUCCCAGGAGUUUGCCAAUCCCAGACACGAGGAUGAAUGACGGGAGGUGGUCUGAAUACGUCUCCUAGUGGUUAAAAGCAGCCAUGACAAGUUUUGCACGUGCUUUGCUAGAGUUUUGAAGCUCACGGCAAACUGGGGUCCACUUCACUCUUUUGUGGGUUCCUCUCCAUGGGCUCACCUUUAUCCUGCAGCAGGUGUAUUUCAGAGAUCACUGGCUCUGUUGGAGAUGGAGGUCUCUUCUCACGAAGGCCAACCCCUGAAGCUGUUCUGCUACCAAAGCUUGCACAUGGGCACUCAUUCCAUCUGCUUUUAUAAAAAGAAGAAAUCAGAGAAAAAAUCAGAUUCCCUGAAGAUCUCUCGUGAAAUCCGCUGCUCAAAGCAGGGCUAGCAUGGUUGCCCAGGAAUGAAAAUUUCAUAACCUCUCCUUUUCAAUUAAAAGGAAGAAAAACUGGAUAGAUAGACGAUUGCAUGAGUGGAAACUAGAGCAUGGUUUGCAAUUCAGACUUCGUUACUACUGAGAGUGGAUGAAUGACAUGAAAUUAGAACUGUGUUUGAAGAGAAUUGGCAUCCACACAGUUUGCGGUGGAAAACGUUCACAUUAACAGCAGUCAUCCUUACAGUUAUCCUUAAUUGCAUCCAGUCUGCCUUGGGGUGGAAUGGGCAAUAAGGGUGUGGAAAGGUGCAGAGCAAAUGUUCCCUAAGGCAAAGACUGUUUAGCAGUCUGGACUCAGAUGGCUUUAGGUACUAAUGGAGCACAAGUACCAACGACUUCUAAAGUGACCAUUUUGAGCUCCCUUGUAAAAGGUAAAGGUCACAUGUUAUACAGAGUAAAUGAGGUGUAGCUGAAAAAACAGUGACCUUAGUCUCCUUCCUGGCCUGUAUCUUUUUUUAAAACCAUGCAUGCCUCCCUGCUACAAAUCAGAAAAUGUCUCAUGACAAAAGGGAAAAAUAAUUUAUUGGCUUUUGAGUGGUGCCUUAGGGUGCAAACAAUAU
Molecule: long non-coding RNA, 1089 nt
Filed under: Gallus gallus (chicken)
Lineage: Eukaryota; Metazoa; Chordata; Aves; Galliformes; Phasianidae
Description: lncRNA (ENSGALG00010010002.1)
Source: RNAcentral